Molecule: ribosomal RNA, 165 nt
Filed under: uncultured bacterium
Lineage: Bacteria
Description: partial 16S rRNA
Rfam family: Bacterial small subunit ribosomal RNA
Source: RNAcentral
UAGGGAAUCUUCGGCAAUGGGGGCAACCCUGACCGAGCAACGCCGCGUGAGUGAAGAAGGUUUUCGGAUCAUAAAGCUCUGUUGUAAGAGAAGAACGUGUGUGAGAGUGGAAAGUUCACACAGUGACGGUAACUUACCAGAAAGGGACGGCUAACUACGUGCCAG